UUCCGGUUGGUCCCGCCGGAGGCCAUUGCUAUCGGAGUCCGAUUUAGCCAUGCUAGUUGUGCGGGUUUAGGCCCGCAGCGGAAAGCUCAGUAACACGUGGCCAAACUACCCUGUGGAUGGGAACAAUCUCGGGAAACUGAGGCUAAUUCCCAAUAACGCUCCACCCCUGGAACGGGCGGAGCUGGAAACGCUACGGCGCCACAGGAUGUGGCUGCGGUCGAUUAGGUAGACGGUGGGGUAACGGCCCACCGUGCCAAUAAUCGGUACGGGUUGUGAGAGCAAGAGCCCGGAGACGGAAUCUGAGACAAGAUUCCGGGCCCUACGGGGCGCAGCAGGCGCGAAACCUUUACACUGUACGCAAGUGCGAUAAGGGGACUCCGAGUGUGAAGGCAUAGAGCCUUCACUUUUGUACACCGUAAGGUGGUGUACGAAUAAGGGCUGGGCAAGACCGGUGCCAGCCGCCGCGGUAAUACCGGCAGCCCGAGUGAUGGCCGAUAUUAUUGGGCCUAAAGCGUCCGUAGCUGGCCGGACAAGUCCGUUGGGAAAUCUGUUCGCUUAACGAGCAGGCGUCCAGCGGAAACUGUUCGGCUUGGGACCGGAAGACCUGAGGGGUACGUCCGGGGUAGGAGUGAAAUCCUGUAAUCCUGGACGGACCACCGGUGGCGAAAGCGCCUCAGGAGGACGGAUCCGACAGUGAGGGACGAAAGCUAGGGUCUCGAACCGGAUUAGAUACCCGGGUAGUCCUAGCUGUAAACGAUGCCCGCUAGGUGUGGCGCAGGCUACGAGCCUGCGCUGUGCCGUAGGGAAGCCGAGAAGCGGGCCGCCUGGGAAGUAUGUCUGCAAGGAUGAAACUUAAAGGAAUUGGCGGGGGAGCACUACAACCGGAGGAGCCUGCGGUUUAAUUGGAGUCAACGCCGGA
This 919-nucleotide ribosomal RNA is filed under the name uncultured Halobacteria archaeon. RNAcentral's name for it is "bacterial SSU rRNA". It matches the Rfam family "Archaeal small subunit ribosomal RNA", at positions 1 to 922 of the family's 1478-position model. The record is from RNAcentral. Lineage: Archaea; Methanobacteriati; Methanobacteriota; Halobacteria.